Molecule: ribosomal RNA, 254 nt
Filed under: uncultured bacterium
Lineage: Bacteria
Description: partial 16S ribosomal RNA
Rfam family: Bacterial small subunit ribosomal RNA
Source: RNAcentral
UACGUAAGGGUGCAAGCGUUGUCCGGAAUUAUUGGGCGUAAAGAGCUCGUAGGCGGUUUGUUGCGUCGGCUGUGAAAACCUGAGGCUCAACCUCAGGCCUGCAGUCGAUACGAGCAGACUAGAGUGUUGCAGGGGAGACUGGAAUUCCUGGUGUAGCGGUGAAAUGCGCAGAUAUCAGGAGGAACACCGGUGGCGAAGGCGGGUCUCUGGGCAACAACUGACGCUGAGGAGCGAAAGCGUGGGGAGCGAACAGG